This 71-nucleotide transfer RNA is filed under the name Lachnospiraceae bacterium. RNAcentral's name for it is "tRNA-Trp". It matches the Rfam family "tRNA". From Rfam's summary of the family: Transfer RNA (tRNA) molecules are approximately 80 nucleotides in length. Their secondary structure includes four short double-helical elements and three loops (D, anti-codon, and T loops). Further hydrogen bonds mediate the characteristic L-shaped molecular structure. tRNAs have two regions of fundamental functional importance: the anti-codon, which is responsible for specific mRNA codon recognition, and the 3' end, to which the tRNAs corresponding amino acid is attached (by aminoacyl-tRNA synthetases). tRNAs cope with the degeneracy of the genetic code in two manners: having more than one tRNA (with a specific anti-codon) for a particular amino acid; and 'wobble' base-pairing, i.e. permitting non-standard base-pairing at the 3rd anti-codon position. Lineage: Bacteria; Bacillati; Bacillota; Clostridia; Lachnospirales; Lachnospiraceae. RNAcentral also lists the same sequence under 3 other names. The record is from RNAcentral.
AGGGGCAUAGUUCAAUGGUAGAACAGCGGUCUCCAAAACCGUCGAUGUGAGUUCGACUCUUACUGCCCCUG